GAAUUCGCCCUUAGAGUUUGAUCCUGGCUCAGGACGAACGCUGGCGGCGUGCUUAACACAUGCAAGUCGAGCGGGGAUCCCCGAAGUUUUCGGAUGGAGGGGAUUCCAGCGGCGGACGGGUGAGUAACGCGUGAGCAAUCUGUCCCGGAAUGGGGGAUAACAGAUGGAAACAUCUGCUAAUACCGCAUAAGACCACGAGGUCACAUGGCCUUGGGGUAAAAGGCGCAAGCCGAUUCGGGGUGAGCUCGCGUCCGAUUAGCUGGUUGGCGGGGUAAGAGCCCACCAAGGCGACGAUCGGUAGCCGACCUGAGAGGGUGAUCGGCCACACUGGAACUGAGAAACGGUCCAGACUCCUACGGGAGGCAGCAGUGGGGAAUAUUGGGCAAUGGGGGAAACCCUGACCCAGCAACGCCGCGUGAGGGAAGAAGGUUUUCGGAUUGUAAACCUCUGUCCUUGGUGAAGAAAAGAAUGACGGUAGCCAAGGAGGAAGCCCCGGCUAACUACGUGCCAGCAGCCGCGGUAAUACGUAGGGGGCGAGCGUUGUCCGGAAUGACUGGGCGUAAAGGGCGUGUAGGCGGCCGAUUAAGUCCGGAGUGAAAGUCCUGCUUUCAAGGUGGGAAUUGCUUUGGAAACUGGUAGGCUUGAGUGCGGAAGAGGUAAGUGGAAUUCCCAGUGUAGCGGUGAAAUGCGUAGAGAUUGGGAGGAACACCAGUGGCGAAGGCGACUUACUGGGCCGUAACUGACGCUGAGGCGCGAAAGCGUGGGGAGCGAACAGGAUUAGAUACCCUGGUAGUCCACGCGGUAAACGAUGAAUGCUAGGUGUAGGGGGUAUCGACCCCUCCUGUGCCGGAGUAAACACAAUAAGCAUUCCGCCUGGGGAGUACGGCCGCAAGGUUGAAACUCAAAGGAAUUGACGGGGGCCCGCACAAGCAGCGGAGCAUGUUGUUUAAUUCGAUGCAACGCGAAGAACCUUACCAGGUCUUGACAUCGACGUAAGCCAUCAGAGAUGAUGGGUGCCUUCGGGCAACGGAAGACAGGUGGUGCAUGGUUGUCGUCAGCUCGUGUCGUGAGAUGUUGGGUUAAGUCCCGCAACGAGCGCAACCCCUGUUGCCAGUUAC
Molecule: ribosomal RNA, 1118 nt
Filed under: uncultured bacterium
Lineage: Bacteria
Description: bacterial SSU rRNA
Rfam family: Bacterial small subunit ribosomal RNA
Source: RNAcentral